Transfer RNA from Camelus ferus (Wild Bactrian camel), 73 nucleotides. It matches the Rfam family "tRNA". Rfam says of the family: Transfer RNA (tRNA) molecules are approximately 80 nucleotides in length. NCBI's taxonomy places the organism in Eukaryota, Metazoa, Chordata, Mammalia, Artiodactyla, Camelidae. The record is from Rfam.
GAGAGUAUAGCUCAAGCAGUAGAGUGCAUGCUUAGCAUGCACAAGGUCCUGGGUUCAAUCCCCAGUACCUCCU